GCCAGCAGCUAGCUCUCUGCAACUCUCACAUGGUCACCCACUGAAACUAAGCAGGGCUGCGCCUGGUCAGUACCUUGAAGGGAAACCACAUGGGAAAGUUGGGCUGCUGCCGGAA
Molecule: non-coding RNA, 115 nt
Organism: Danio rerio (zebrafish)
Lineage: Eukaryota; Metazoa; Chordata; Actinopteri; Cypriniformes; Danionidae
Source: Rfam